This 371-nucleotide long non-coding RNA is filed under the name Mytilus galloprovincialis (Mediterranean mussel). The record is from RNAcentral. Lineage: Eukaryota; Metazoa; Mollusca; Bivalvia; Mytilida; Mytilidae.
AAAAAAAAACACUAUUAAAUUUUGUAUAUUUUAUCGAAUGAUUUAUUGGUCUAUUUUACUAGUUUUGAUUGUCAUAUGCAUCCCAGUGUCCUUUGUGAACACUUAGAACGCCAAUCGAUGUCCAGUGGUGAACUUAUGCAAUGAUUUAUAAUUCAUGUAUUUUAUGUAGAAGAAAUGUGGGGUGUUCUUUAAUAAGACAGUAACCAACGGCCAAUACAUAUUAUGACCCUGACACAUUAAACAUGCGCUUAAUUAUGUUGUUGAAGGCCGCAUGAAUUUUGGGGUUGCUAAUUGAUUUAUCAUUUUCAGGAAAUGACAGCGGCAGUUGUAUACUUUCAUUCAAUUUCUUUUGUUCACUUCUAUGCUUGGUU